This is a long non-coding RNA of Nematostella vectensis (starlet sea anemone), 2139 nucleotides long. RefSeq lists it as uncharacterized. The record is from RefSeq and is a predicted model, not a curated record. The transcript is spliced from 2 exons. NCBI's taxonomy places the organism in Eukaryota, Metazoa, Cnidaria, Anthozoa, Actiniaria, Edwardsiidae.
GUACAGUUAGUUAAAUCAGCGACAACCUUUCGUACCUUUUCUCGAAUGUUUUAACACUACGAUUGUGCUUGUUUUCGCCAGAGCACGCGCAUGCGUUAUUCAGCACUGUCCCUAUAGCCAUUGUAAGUAAUCGUGUCUUCUCUCUUUAUCUGGAAUUGCCCGUGUUCCAGGUUUUUCCGUCAUGUCAGCAGGCUCAAACUAAUACAACUUUUCACAAGAGUUUGCAUCUGAUCGCAACUAAGCAGCUGAGUCCGAAGUGAAAAUGAUAGGUAAGCAAUUCAAGUUUCAUUCAUUCAUGCAUUUGGAUGAUUUUUCGUACCAGGAAAGCAAACUGAAAUCACAAUUCAAUUCCUUUUUUGCAUACAAACAAACAAACGUUGUUUCGCAGCUGGACUAUCAAGCAGUCUCCCUGGAGCUCGAUAGCCUUUGCCUUGAAUCUUUUAGUAGAGUUCCCAGAUAAGCUUAUUACAUAUCUUGAACACAUGUUUUCACUUUUUUGUCUUUGUGAUAAUGGCGCCCAAGAUUUCUUGCUCGAAGUCAUUGCAAGCAAAGUCAGUGGGAAAACUUAACAUGUUAGGACCACAUGUGUCAAUGGCAACUGAGUCUCACGUGAGAAUGCUAGUUUCAGAUCAAGACAAACCUAGCGGAAAUUUAGGAGUGUGCUGGCGUGGUCACCUCUCUAGUCUCCUGCGCAGCCGUCUAUCACCACUCACGAGCAGCAACAUGCCUAGCCUAGCACACGUGAUCUUGAGUUCCUCACGGGAAGCCUGGAUUCUUUUAUUAUUACAAAGCAAGAACUACUAGCGAGUUUUUUUAACAAAUGGACUCGACUAGGCCAAGUUAACAAAUACAAAUAUUCGUCCUCGCCGGCGUCAUUUUUUUUAGGGCCGAUUCAAAAUUUCAACAUUUGCUAAUUUUCAAACUCCUAUAAUUAACCUUUUUUCGCGAUUUUAGACGUUCCCUUAGCCUUCGUCAGUGAAAAACUCCAUUCGUAUUUGCUUUUGUUGGCGUUAUGAUAUGGAGCCAGUCAAAAAAAUCCUUUUGGAGGUCCAUUGUGGAUAGAUCAAUAAUAAUGGUACAGGAAAUACAGGAAAUACAAAUAAAAGCUACCCGCCCCACUUUCUCCUCGCCGUUCCGCCGCGCCGCCUCGCUCUUUCGCGUCUCAUAACGCUGCCCGCGUCGCCUUGCUUCUCGAGGAUUGCCCGCUCGUUUUUUUUUUUUUUUUUCCUAGAAAUGCGGUUGGGAAACGUUUGUUUUAUUUUACUUGGCAAAUUAAAUACAAUGGGUAUAUCGAUUUGCUAUAAUGUAUGGCGUUGUUAGAUGGUACUCCAUCUCUAUUUCCAUUUGUAUUUUAUAACGUCUGAGUUAACGUCCUAGGGGAAUAUAUGUAUUGAUCCGCCGCUCAUGUGAUUUAAUUAUUUUACUGCAAUGGUGUAAUGGUAAAAUGACCGUUUAUUUCAUUCAAAAUAAAAUUAGAACUCUAAUGUAAUACAAUGGAAUAUGAGUUCUUCUUGAAAGUAAUGCACAACAAAGCCGGUUGAGGGGUUGUAUUUACAAUAGAGUAGUGAACAAUGGCCGGCGAAUCGCGCGCGAGCCGAAUAAGGAACAAACGGCAAUUAAGAAGCGGGCGCGCUAAAGAAAUAGUUAUUAUCUAUGCAAAGGAUAGUUUCUCGAUUAUACCCAGGUAAGCUAUGCAGCUAGAGAGAAAAUGAUUCUGUUCUACUUCUGGGUGCGCGAGUCUUUAGAGCCGUUAUGUAAAGAAGCCGACGUAGUGGGGAGGUGAAAAUGCCUGAGACACUUAAAUGUAUGUUGGUUGAUGUCGAUAAGAAUGCGCGAUUCAUUUUCUCCGGAUACAGAUUUAGAAUCUAGUUUUUUAUUUACUCCAAUGGGAAAAUAUACCUGACUUUUAUAAGGGUGGAUAUCUUCGCCGCUCAUAUUCACCGGAACUGUUGAUUUCUCAUAAACUUACGCUUCGUUACCGGUGUGCCAAGCAUGUAAUCUGUUGCAUGUGAUUUUAAACUCAAACCCAUCGCUUGGCUGUUCUAAAUAAAUGUGGAAGGUCUUUUUUAAUUCAGAAAAUUUAAGUUUAGGCUAAAAAUAUCGGAUAAGUAAAAUGACAAUACUAGAUCAGUACGAAGC